AGAGGGCCGUGGCGUGAUCGCCCAAACA
This 28-nucleotide small RNA is filed under the name Bombyx mori (domestic silkworm). RNAcentral describes it as "ovarian small RNA-11935". The record is from RNAcentral. Lineage: Eukaryota; Metazoa; Arthropoda; Insecta; Lepidoptera; Bombycidae.